RNAcentral lists this ribosomal RNA (468 nucleotides) under uncultured bacterium. RNAcentral describes it as "partial 16S ribosomal RNA". It matches the Rfam family "Bacterial small subunit ribosomal RNA", at positions 28 to 507 of the family's 1533-position model. The record is from RNAcentral.
GACGAACGCUGGCGGCGUGCUUAACACAUGCAAGUCGAACGGAAAGGCCCUGCUUUUGUGGGGUGCUCGAGUGGCGAACGGGUGAGUAACACGUGAGUAACCUGCCCUUGACUUUGGGAUAACUUCAGGAAACUGGGGCUAAUACCGGAUAGGAGCUCCUGCUGCAUGGUGGGGGUUGGAAAGUUUCGGCGGUUGGGGAUGGACUCGCGGCUUAUCAGCUUGUUGGUGGGGUAGUGGCUUACCAAGGCUUUGACGGGUAGCCGGCCUGAGAGGGUGACCGGCCACGUUGGGAGUGGGAUAGGGCCAAGAUCCCUAGGGGGGGCAGCGGUGGGGAAUUUGGAAAAAGGGGCGGAAGCGUGACGCAGCAACGCCGGGGGGGGGAUGCCGGCUUUCGGUUUGUAAACCGCUUGCGCCGGUGACGAAGCGGGAGGGAGGUAAAGGGAUAAAAAAACCCGGGCAAACUACGUG